RNAcentral lists this long non-coding RNA (1242 nucleotides) under Ananas comosus (pineapple). RNAcentral's name for it is "long non-coding RNA (ACOM_LNC035076)". Lineage: Eukaryota; Viridiplantae; Streptophyta; Magnoliopsida; Poales; Bromeliaceae. The record is from RNAcentral.
CAAAAUUUAAUUUAUGAUAACUUCUGGUUAAAACUUUAUAAAUCAUUACAAUCAAACUACAAAAUCUAAUUUACUUGUCUAAGUAUUAACGUAUUGCCGUUGUGGACGUAACGUGACAUCUUGCUUAUUGUCCUGUCAUCAUUCAUAACAAUAUCACAUCAUUUGCAUAUUUGCGACACAUUAAUAUUUAUUCAACUAAAUUGGGAUGUGGAGUUUGAUUGCAACAACUUAGAUAAUUCGAGUGACACAUUGUAACAAAUUAAAGUUUGAGGAUCAAAUCGUAUAGCGUGUCUCAUGGUUUGAGACCAAAAUUGUAAUUUAGCUUUUUUGUUUUUAGGCACCUUCUAAAGAUUCUUUUUCCAGUCAUAUGAAUCCCUAUCAUGAUUUUGAUAGAGAAACCAAAAACCUAAAAACAUUGUUUGUUGGCCAUACAAAGUUCUAUCAUUGACCCUUCCUUCAAAGAAUAGGUAUUUACACUACAACAAAAACGGUCUAUAGCGACACUUUUAAAUGUAGGUGCAUGUCAAAAAAGUGCUGCUAGCUAAAAUUACCGACACUUUUAAAAAGUGUUGCUAUAUGUGGGGUCGCUAGGUAUAUAGUGACAGUUAAAGAGUAUCGCUAUAACCUAAAAGAGUGCUGCUAAUUAACCAACACUUAUUUAAGCAUUUAGCAACCGCCGAAACUCUAUCUCGUUGGCUGCGGUGGCAGAGGAGGACGACAUGAAGGCUCUUCGUCUAGAAUUUCAGUGGAUUGAGUGAAGAGAGAAGAAAAGAUGGUAAUUGAUUUUUCUUUUUUUUUUCUUUUCUGUUUGUAAUCGGGCCAAAUGGACUGGGUGUGGUGGGUUGAGUAGAGUAAUCUUUUAUUUUUGGUUGGAUUAGGCUUUAUAUAUAGGCAGUAGUAGAUGUUUUUUUAAGUUUUAGGAUAAAUAGGACACUUAUUCAAAAGUGUCCCAAACAUGUGUCCCUAUAACCUAAUUCUGUUGUAGUGUUAAGGGAGGACAACGGAUCGGAUACGGUCGGAUAUUUGAUGAAACUGUAUCUGUUUUUUUUUUUUAAUACAAAUUCGGAUGUGUAUAUAUUUCGAAUGCUAAAUUUUUGUUAUUAUAUCUGCUAAAAACGAAUUUGGAUACGAUCAAAUACUUCGUAGGAUUUGAAUAUGGAUCUGAUUUGUAUUUGGGUAUUAUUUUAAUGAGAAUCAAGACAUUAUUAUUGUUUGGUUUAGAAAAAUUUAAUUGUCCAAAAA